GGGUAGAGUAAUGCGUGACCAACCUGCCCCAUGCUCCAGAAUAGCUCUUGGAAACGGGUGGUAAUGCUGGAUGCUCCAACUUGACGCAUGUCUUGUUGGGAAAGUGUUUAGUGGCAUGGGAUGGGGUCGCGUCCUAUCAGCUUGUAGGCGGGGUAAUGGCCCACCUAGGCUUCGACGGGUAGCCGGCCUGAGAGGGCGGACGGCCACAUUGGGACUGAGAUACGGCCCAGACUCCUACGGGAGGCAGCAGAC
RNAcentral lists this ribosomal RNA (252 nucleotides) under uncultured Gardnerella sp. RNAcentral describes it as "partial 16S ribosomal RNA". It matches the Rfam family "Bacterial small subunit ribosomal RNA", at positions 100 to 354 of the family's 1533-position model. The record is from RNAcentral. Lineage: Bacteria; Bacillati; Actinomycetota; Actinomycetes; Bifidobacteriales; Bifidobacteriaceae.